GAUGAAGAAAACAGGGCAGUUGGUUUUCACUCGAAAUCAGGAGGUCUCUGGUUUUUCUUGUAUUUCAGAGUGUAUCGGUGGAGUUAGAAUCUCUAUUUGGAACAAAUUAAAGAGGUCGUGUGCGCGCGAUUCUGGAAGUGGUUCUGUUUUGAGGGUUAUAUGUGUUUAUGCACGGGGAAUCAGAUUUAUAUGUCUUCUGGCCGAGAAGAAUUAAACCGAGCUUAUAGACCAAGGAUCUAGCCCAAGACUGUAGAGAUCGACUUCCCGGUGCCUGAUAGACUGCCUUAGUCUGCGGAAGCUUCAUUACCGAUUGCUUGUACGUGUUUUGAGUUGGGCAUAAAGUCUGUUGUGUUGUGAUGUAUUCACACCCUUGUAUGUUAUAGAUACUCCACAGUUUGUAUAAGCUUUAGGAGCUGUAGUUGUGUAAAUUUUGUUGGUUAUAUUUUGAUUAAGGUGUCUUUAGGUUUACUCGUGAAAUCGGUAAAUUUUGAGGUACACUUCAUGUA
Long non-coding RNA from Cucumis melo (muskmelon), 506 nucleotides. RefSeq lists it as uncharacterized. The record is from RefSeq and is a predicted model, not a curated record. The transcript is spliced from 4 exons. NCBI's taxonomy places the organism in Eukaryota, Viridiplantae, Streptophyta, Magnoliopsida, Cucurbitales, Cucurbitaceae.